GAUGGUCUUGGAGGGCUUUUCCAACCUGAGCGAUUCUGUGAUUCCAAACAGAUUUAAACUACCCAGUUCUUCCUCUCCUGCAGUGGCACAGCAGCCCCAGGCGUGACAGUCCCAAGGCCACUUUUACACCUGAGGUAACGUCUCACCACCGUAGCAGUUGUCUCUCCAGAGACAUUCUCCUCUUCCAGACUGAAAGGGUUCCUGAACUCAGUGAUGUAGGUGUUGUGAUUCAGUGUCUUGGGCACGGAUCCCAUCUCAACAGGGCUGGUAUUCCCAGGAGCCAGCAAGCUGAAAUUAAUUCAUUACAAUGAAAUCCACAAAAUAAUUAAGAAGAAAAUAGUUUGUGCCUCCGUAGGAAGGAUCAAAAUAAACCAAUUUAUGCUAUGAUCAGUUAUUGCAAUACAGUCUGUUUCUGCUUUACACUGUGUAAGAUGCACUAUGCUAAUUAAGCAUAUGUUUGUAUAGAUUAGUCUCAAUGAGAUUUACCCCAGUUUUCUACACCAUCUGUGCAAGAUUGGUAGACUAGUUGGAAGUGAUCUCUGUAUACAUUGUCUGUACUAGCUGAAGAAGUGUUUAGAACACUUAGAGGUAGAAGUUUUCUUUUCGUUAUUACUGGUCUAGCAAACCUUUAGUUACGGAUUUUGAGCGUUUUCCUUGUGCUUUCAAAAACUAGUGAUUUAAGGCAAUAUCAAUUUAGAAGUUAUGAUUCAAAGUUAUCAUUUUAAAAGACCAAAUAAAUCAAGGAAGAAUUUAAAGAACCUGACAAAUCCUUUCCUGCUUAGUUUUAUUUAGAGAUAUGAAACAUGCAUUACUGCUAUGGAGGGGAAGAUACCACCAAGUAUAAAUGUUGCCAUAAUGAAAAAUUAGGCCUUAAAAAUAAUCUGGGAGUUUAUCACUACAAAACUGUCAUGUUGUUUAUUUUAGCUCUUGGCAUUUAUCAUGAUGAAUAACUGAUGCAUGAAAAAAAAAAGUCUAUCCUCCUAACAGUGCUUGAAGCCAACUGAUGGCUUUUUCUGUGUAAUCCCCAGGGAAGCCUGUGUCAGAACCUCUACCCUGGCACUCCAUGUUACCAGGGGCUGAUUUCCUUGACUGGGGGGACAGAGGAAGGAGCUCUUUGCCCUGGACAGCCCUGGUGUGAUGCUGUGACAGAGGAUGUUGGGAAGAACACGAGGAGCUAUCCCUGCCUAUGCUCUUCAGUGUACCUCAGGAUGCUUCAAAUCUGCAAGCCUGGCUCCAGCCACGCAGCAGAGUAUGGAGGGUCCAAACCCAUGGGGUCUAAACCAGGAACUGGGCCUAAACCUGACCACAGCAGCACGACUUUCCCCCUCCUGCAGCACUGUGAGCAGGUCAGCAGUGCCUGGUGUGUGUCCCACACCAAGGAGCUGCAGCCAGAGGCUCCGGCUGGUGUGGAAUGAGCAACACCCAGAGAGUACCAGACUUUCUGCUUUCAAAACAGGGCGGGCACGUGAAAAGCGCUGCUGCAAAUUGUCCCUGGCCUGACCUAAAUCCCAAACCAUGCCCGAGACUUGUCUGGAAAAGUGCAACUGGCCCAGGGCCCAGCCUUUGCCGGGGACUGCAGCAACCAGAGAGCAUGGACAAGGGAGCUCUGCGUGCUGGGCUUUCCCAUUUGCAUCUACGUGGUCCUGGGAUCAGACUGAGCUGCCCCAAGGCCUUGGCACACUUUCCUGCUGCAGAGCAGGCCAGACAUCCUUCUUGGAGUAACUUGGAACUAUCCUUUGGUAGGAUAGUAGAUACUAGGCAACAAGCUGGGGCACAGAGUGGGAGUUUUGGGGUUUUCUGAAGGUUUCAUGUUUGGGUGUGUUCAUUUGUUUUGUUUGGGAUUUUUUUUUUUAUUUGACUUUUUUUUAAUGUACUGGGAAAAAAACCAGUUCCAAACAUCUUCAAGACAAUCACAAGAUCAAACCUCAACUCUCCAAAGGCAGACAGGUACACUGUCACAAUAAACUCAAGAAUUAAAAUACAUUUCUGUUGACUGUGAGGAUGUCUAUCUGGCAUGAGAAUCUCUGGUGUAACACCAUAGUGCCCAGCUUAGCUGGGAAAACUGUAUGACAAGCUCAGGACAGGGAUUGAUCCAGGAGCUCUGGAAUUCCCUUCCUUGCUGCUCUUGCACAACAUCACUGCUUGCCAGCUGUUGCCUUUGCCUACUGUUCUUCAUCCUUCUUAUUGUACAUUUGCAUUACAGUGUGUACUGGAAGAGAAGACUAGGAAACCUCAGUAAAAUUUUUUUUUGCCUUUUGA
RNA transcript from Pipra filicauda (Wire-tailed manakin), 2259 nucleotides. RefSeq lists it as uncharacterized. Lineage: Eukaryota; Metazoa; Chordata; Aves; Passeriformes; Pipridae. The transcript is spliced from 4 exons. The record is from RefSeq and is a predicted model, not a curated record.